AAAACUUUUAACAACGGAUCUCUUGGUUCUGGCAUCGAUGAAGAACGCAGCGAAAUGCGAUAAGUAAUGUGAACUGCAGAAUUCAGUGAAUCAUCGAAUCUUUGAACGCACAUUGCGCCCCCUGGUAUUCCGGGGGGCAUGCCUGUUCGAGCGUCAUUU
RNAcentral lists this ribosomal RNA (159 nucleotides) under Cladosporium tenuissimum. Its description in RNAcentral is "5.8S ribosomal RNA". It matches the Rfam family "5.8S ribosomal RNA". Rfam says of the family: 5.8S ribosomal RNA (5.8S rRNA) is a component of the large subunit of the eukaryotic ribosome. It is transcribed by RNA polymerase I as part of the 45S precursor that also contains 18S and 28S rRNA. Lineage: Eukaryota; Fungi; Ascomycota; Dothideomycetes; Cladosporiales; Cladosporiaceae. The record is from RNAcentral.